GACGAACCGUACGAACGUUAUUCGGAAUUACUGGGCUUAAAGGGUGCGUGGGCGGCGCGGAAAGUAGGGUGUGAAAUCCCUCGGCUCAACCGAGGAACUGCGCUCUAAACUACCGUGCUCGAGGGAGAUAGAGGUGAGCGGAACUGAGGGUGGAGCGGUGAAAUGCGUUGAUAUCCUCAGGAACACCGGUGGCGAAAGCGGCUCACUGGAUCUCUUCUGACGCUGAGGCACGAAAGCUAGGGUAGCGAACGGG
This 253-nucleotide ribosomal RNA is filed under the name uncultured bacterium. Its description in RNAcentral is "partial 16S ribosomal RNA". It matches the Rfam family "Bacterial small subunit ribosomal RNA", at positions 524 to 776 of the family's 1533-position model. The record is from RNAcentral.